This 325-nucleotide ribosomal RNA is filed under the name uncultured eukaryote. Its description in RNAcentral is "partial 18S ribosomal RNA". It matches the Rfam family "Eukaryotic small subunit ribosomal RNA", at positions 1470 to 1796 of the family's 1831-position model. The record is from RNAcentral.
CCCUUAGAUGUUCUGGGCCGCACGCGCGCUACACUGAAUGGAUCAACGUGUUUUCCCUUCCCGAGAGGGACGGGUAACCCGCUGAACCCCAUUCGUGGUAGGGAUCGGAGCUUGCAAUUGUUCUCCGUGAACCAGGAAUUCCCAGUAAGCGCAAGUCAUAAGCUUGCGUUGAUUACGUCCCUGCCCUUUGUACACACCGCCCGUCGCUACUACCGAUUGGACGUUUUAGUGAGGAUUUUGGACUGAGCCAAUGGUGGUUCACACCACUGUUGUGCAUGGAAAGAUCUCCAAACUUGAGCGUUUAGAGGAAGUAAAAGUCGUAACA